RNAcentral lists this long non-coding RNA (252 nucleotides) under Mustela putorius furo (domestic ferret). RNAcentral describes it as "lncRNA (ENSMPUG00000027163.1)". The record is from RNAcentral. Lineage: Eukaryota; Metazoa; Chordata; Mammalia; Carnivora; Mustelidae.
UUUCAGUUGGGUGUUCAGGGACGAACUUUCUGAGGACGGGUCACAGAAAUGUGGUUGGAAAGAAGAGAAGGACCUAAAGUGGAACAUUCCAGGUUCCACACCCAGUGCAGAGCCCAUUGUGCGGCUUGCCCUCAUGACCCUGAGAUCAAGACUUGAGCUGAAAACGAUCAUCAGACACUUAACUGACUGAGCCACCCGGACUACAUGCUUUUUUCUACUUUUAUCUACCCUUGGGCAUGGAUGUGCUCUGAG